UAACACGUGGGUAACCUGCCCAGAAGUAGGGGAUAACACCUGGAAACAGAUGCUAAUACCGUAUAACAGAGAAAACCGCAUGGUUUUCUUUUAAAAGAUGGCUCUGCUAUCACUUCUGGAUGGACCCGCGGCGUAUUAGCUAGUUGGUGAGGUAAAGGCUCACCAAGGCAGUGAUACGUAGCCGACCUGAGAGGGUAAUCGGCCACAUUGGGACUGAGACACGGCCCAGACUCCUACGGGAGGCAGCAGUAGGGAAUCUUCCACAAUGGACGCAAGUCUGAUGGAGCAACGCCGCGUGAGUGAAGAAGGGUUUCGGCUCGUAAAGCUCUGUUGUUAAAGAAGAACGUGGGUAAGAGUAACUGUUUACCCAGUGACGGUAUUUAACCAGAAAGCCACGGCUAACUACGUGCCAGCAGCCGCGGUAAUACGUAGGUGGCAAGCGUUAUCCGGAUUUAUUGGGCGUAAAGCGAGCGCAGGCGGUCUUUUAAGUCUAAUGUGAAAGCCUUCGGCUCAACCGAAGAAGUGCAUUGGAAACUGGGAGACUUGAGUGCAGAAGAGGACAGUGGAACUCCAUGUGUAGCGGUGAAAUGCGUAGAUAUAUGGAAGAACACCAGUGGCGAAGGCGGCUGUCUGGUCUGCAACUGACGCUGAGGCUCGAAAGCAUGGGUAGCGAACAGGAUUAGAUACCCUGGUAGUCCAUGCCGUAAACGAUGAUUACUAAGUGUUGGAGGGUUUCCGCCCUUCAGUGCUGCAGCUAACGCAUUAAGUAAUCCGCCUGGGGAGUACGACCGCAAGGUUGAAACUCAAAAGAAUUGACGGGGGCCCGCACAAGCGGUGGAGCAUGUGGUUUAAUUCGAAGCUACGCGAAGAACCUUACCAGGUCUUGACAUCUUCUGACAGUCUAAGAGAUUAGAGGUUCCCUUCGGGGACAGAAUGACAGGUGGUGCAUGGUUGUCGUCAGCUCGUGUCGUGAGAUGUUGGGUUAAGUCCCGCAACGAGCGCAACCCUUAUUACUAGUUGCCAGCAUUAAGUUGGGCACUCUAGUGAGACUGCCGGUGACAAACCGGAGGAAGGUGGGGACGACGUCAAAUCAUCAUGCCCCUUAUGACCUGGGCUACACACGUGCUACAAUGGAUGGUACAACGAGUCGCGAGACCGCGAGGUUAAGCUAAUCUCUUAAAACCAUUCUCAGUUCGGACUGUAGGCUGCAACUCGCCUACACGAAGUCGGAAUCGCUAGUAAUCGCGGAUCAGCAUGCCGCGGUGAAUACGUUCCCGGGCCUUGUACAC
RNAcentral lists this ribosomal RNA (1289 nucleotides) under Pediococcus pentosaceus. RNAcentral describes it as "bacterial SSU rRNA". It matches the Rfam family "Bacterial small subunit ribosomal RNA", at positions 111 to 1388 of the family's 1533-position model. The record is from RNAcentral. Lineage: Bacteria; Bacillati; Bacillota; Bacilli; Lactobacillales; Lactobacillaceae.